UGCUUGUACAGGACUCGGUUUCCACAUCUGUCUGUGUUCCUCUGACACAGUAUUAAGAUGAUUCAUCGAUCUGUCGUUCUCUUAUCAGACUUACAUGCUUGCUGAGGGUGGGAUGUGUGCCUUACCCAUCACUGCCUGACACAAGGCUUGGCCGGCACUCAAUACUGUGGGUUAGAUGCAUCAAAAGUCAUUUGCAUUUAAAACUUGACAUUUCCCUAUAAAAGGAAAUAACUUUAUCUAAAGGUGGGAGUUUCUAUAGUCUACAUAUCUGUGGGCCCUGCCAGAAAGAGGAAGGAUUAAAAAAAAAAACACAAAAAAACCUGACGUAUAGCAGAGGCUACUACAUUUCUUCCUUAUAGAAAAAAUAUGUUUACCUAAUUUCUAGAAAACAUACUCUAUUGGCCUGUUACUUUUUAUACGUGGGUUUUCUCUAGAUGUAUUUGUGAGAGUUAUUGGAACGUAAAAAUAAGAUCUCAUGUGGUCAUGGUGUCUGGCUAGUCAUUAGAUUCUUCUUCCAUCCUCUCUGUCAGAGAAGAAAGGGGGACAGGUGGGGAAAGGAUAAACAAUAUGCAGAGGGAAUGAAAAAGGUUGUACUUUUAAUGAGCAUAUACUGUUGGCUAGGCGUUAUUCUAAGUCCUUCACAUAUAUUAGUACAUGUAAUCCUCACAACAGCCUUGACGGAAAUAUUUUUUCCAUUUCGUAGACCAAGAAAGUUAAUCAUGUGAAGGUUAAACACUUUACCUAAUAUCACACUGUGAGUAACUUGGGACAUCAGGAUGAUGACAACGAUAAUGGUAAUAAUAACAAAAGUAAAAUAAUAAAGUGACAAGAGCAGUAAUUAUUACUGAGAGGUACGCCAGGCACCAAUAAAUCUUCUACUCCUAACAACCUGAAAGAUUUAUUAUGUGGAAGACAUUAUUACAUUUUUAACAGGUGACCAAAUGGGAACUAAUGAGAUUAAAUCAAUUGUCAAGGACAACAACUUAAGGGGUGGAGUGGGCCUAAAAUCCUCUAAUGCCAAACCUGUCUUUGUUUGACUAUACCAUGUUGCUUUACCUCUCAGGCUAAGUCCUAAACACAUCUGAGAUUUACCACCUGCUAUGCAAAGUUACUCUUUUGUUCCAACUCAACAUACUGGGGAAUCCUCAGUAAUCCUCCCCAAUAGAUCCAUUAUGCUGACUGAGGCUAGGGCAAUGUGGAAAAAGUAGGGCUGGGAUUUCUGUUUAAAAUACAGUGCUACCAGACUGAUGGAAGAGACCUACACCACCCUCCGACCAGAGAAAGGGAGGACCACUCCCUUGCCUGUCUAGACCUUCUAAUGCUCACAGACGGGUGUUGGGUGACAUUUCAAAGUGAUUGUUUUGGUGGACCCAUGUCUGUUUCUUUUCCCCUUCCUUUAGUAGGAAGUUGUCCCCAGACUCACCAUCUCCCAUCUCAUCAGAGAAGGGAAGGCUAAAGACAGCUUCAUCAAUCAUCCGGUUGGGAAGGUUGGU
Molecule: long non-coding RNA, 1493 nt
Organism: Leopardus geoffroyi (Geoffroy's cat)
Lineage: Eukaryota; Metazoa; Chordata; Mammalia; Carnivora; Felidae
Exons: 2
Source: RefSeq, a predicted model, not a curated record